Molecule: ribosomal RNA, 253 nt
Filed under: uncultured bacterium
Lineage: Bacteria
Description: partial 16S ribosomal RNA
Rfam family: Bacterial small subunit ribosomal RNA
Source: RNAcentral
UACGGGGGGGGCAAGCGUUGUUCGGAAUUACUGGGCGUAAAGGGCUCGUAGGCGGCCAACUAAGUCAGACGUGAAAUCCCCAGGCUCAACCUGGGAACUGCGUCUGAUACUGGAUGGCUUGAAUCCGGGAGAGGGAUGCAGAAUUCCAGGUGUAGCGGUGAAAUGCGUAGAUAUCAGGAGGAACACCGGUGGCGAAGGCGGGUCUCUGGGCCGUAACUGACGCUGAGACGCGAAAGCGUGGGGAGCAAACAGG